GAUGAACGCUGGCGGCGUGCCUAAUACAUGCAAGUCGAGCGAACGGACGAGAAGCUUGCUUUUCUGAUGUUAGCGGCGGACGGGUGAGUAACACGUGGAUAACCUACCUAUAAGACUGGGAUAACUUCGGGAAACCGGAGCUAAUACCGGAUAAUAUUUUGAACCGCAUGGUUCAAAAGUGAAAGACGGUCUUGCUGUCACUUAUAGAUGGAUCCGCGCUGCAUUAGCUAGUUGGUAAGGUAACGGCUUACCAAGGCAACGAUGCAUAGCCGACCUGAGAGGGUGAUCGGCCACACUGGAACUGAGACACGGUCCAGACUCCUACGGGAGGCAGCAGUAGGGAAUCUUCCGCAAUGGGCGAAAGCCUGACGGAGCAACGCCGCGUGAGUGAUGAAGGUCUUCGGAUCGUAAAACUCUGUUAUUAGGGAAGAACAUAUGUGUAAGUAACUGUGCACAUCUUGACGGUACCUAAUCAUAAAGCCACGGCUAACUACGUG
This 497-nucleotide ribosomal RNA is filed under the name uncultured bacterium. RNAcentral's name for it is "partial 16S ribosomal RNA". It matches the Rfam family "Bacterial small subunit ribosomal RNA", at positions 28 to 507 of the family's 1533-position model. The record is from RNAcentral.